Molecule: ribosomal RNA, 253 nt
Filed under: uncultured bacterium
Lineage: Bacteria
Description: partial 16S ribosomal RNA
Rfam family: Bacterial small subunit ribosomal RNA
Source: RNAcentral
UACGUAGGGGGCGAGCGUUGUCCGGAGUUACUGGGCGUAAAGGGCAUGCAGGCGGUCCGACACGUUUUGUGUGACAGCGGGUGGCUUAACUACCCGAGGAUACGAAAGACGGUUGGACUUGAGGACUCGAGAGGGACACGGAAUUCCGGGUGGAGUGGUGAAAUGCGUAGAGAUCCGGAGGAACACCGAAAGCGAAGGCAGUGUCCUGGCUGGUGACUGACGCUGAGGUGCGAAAGCUAGGGGAGCGAACGGG